GCUGUGAUGGCUGAGUGGUUAAGGUGCUGGAUUAGAAGCCCAAUAGAGUUUCCCUGCCUAGGUUCAAAUCCUGCUCACAGCA
RNAcentral lists this transfer RNA (82 nucleotides) under Pelodiscus sinensis (Chinese soft-shelled turtle). It matches the Rfam family "tRNA". From Rfam's summary of the family: Transfer RNA (tRNA) molecules are approximately 80 nucleotides in length. Their secondary structure includes four short double-helical elements and three loops (D, anti-codon, and T loops). The record is from Rfam by way of RNAcentral. Lineage: Eukaryota; Metazoa; Chordata; Testudines; Trionychidae.